RNAcentral lists this ribosomal RNA (705 nucleotides) under Salmonella enterica. Its description in RNAcentral is "partial 23S ribosomal RNA". It matches the Rfam family "Bacterial large subunit ribosomal RNA", at positions 2229 to 2925 of the family's 2925-position model. Lineage: Bacteria; Pseudomonadati; Pseudomonadota; Gammaproteobacteria; Enterobacterales; Enterobacteriaceae. RNAcentral also lists the same sequence under 1 other name. The record is from RNAcentral.
GGACCCGUGAUCCGGGUUGCGGACAGUGUCUGGUGGGUAGUUUGACUGGGGCGGUCUCCUCCUAAAGAGUAACGGAGGAGCACGAAGGUUGGCUAAUCCUGGUCGGACAUCAGGAGGUUAGUGCAAUGGCAUAAGCCAGCUUGACUGCGAGCGUGACGGCGCGAGCAGGUGCGAAAGCAGGUCAUAGUGAUCCGGUGGUUCUGAAUGGAAGGGCCAUCGCUCAACGGAUAAAAGGUACUCCGGGGAUAACAGGCUGAUACCGCCCAAGAGUUCAUAUCGACGGCGGUGUUUGGCACCUCGAUGUCGGCUCAUCACAUCCUGGGGCUGAAGUAGGUCCCAAGGGUAUGGCUGUUCGCCAUUUAAAGUGGUACGCGAGCUGGGUUUAGAACGUCGUGAGACAGUUCGGUCCCUAUCUGCCGUGGGCGCUGGAGAACUGAGGGGGGCUGCUCCUAGUACGAGAGGACCGGAGUGGACGCAUCACUGGUGUUCGGGUUGUCAUGCCAAUGGCACUGCCCGGUAGCUAAAUGCGGAAGAGAUAAGUGCUGAAAGCAUCUAAGCACGAAACUUGCCCCGAGAUGAGUUCUCCCUGAGACUUUAGGUCUCCUGAAGGAACGUUGAAGACGACGACGUUGAUAGGCCGGGUGUGUAAGCGCAGCGAUGCGUUGAGCUAACCGGUACUAAUGAACCGUGAGGCUUAACCUUACA